GUGGGGAAUCUUGCGCAAUGGGCGAAAGCCUGACGCAGCAACGCCGCGUGCGGGAAGAAGGCCUUCGGGUUGUAAACCGCUUUCAGCAGGAACGAAAAUGACGGUACCUGCAGAAGAAGGUGCGGCCAACUACGUGCCAGCAGCCGCGGUGACACGUAGGCACCAAGCGUUGUCCGGAUUUAUUGGGCGUAAAGAGCUCGUAGGCGGUUCAGUAAGUCGGGUGUGAAAACUCUGGGCCCAACCCAGAACCUGCAUCCGAAACUGCUGUGACUUGAGUUCGGUAGGGGAGCGGGGAAUUCCUGGUGUAGCGGUGAAAUGCGCAGAUAUCAGGAGGAACACCGGUGGCGAAGGCGCCGCUCUGGGCCGACACUGACGCUGAGGAGCGAAAGCGUGGGUAGCAAACAGGAUUAGAUACCCCGGUAGUCC
This 426-nucleotide ribosomal RNA is filed under the name uncultured bacterium. RNAcentral's name for it is "bacterial SSU rRNA". It matches the Rfam family "Bacterial small subunit ribosomal RNA", at positions 354 to 796 of the family's 1533-position model. The record is from RNAcentral.